RNAcentral lists this unclassified non-coding RNA (350 nucleotides) under plant metagenome. RNAcentral's name for it is "partial contains 5.8S ribosomal RNA, internal transcribed spacer 2, and large subunit ribosomal RNA". The stretch from base 1 to 105 matches the Rfam family "5.8S ribosomal RNA", at positions 50 to 154 of the family's 154-position model. The record is from RNAcentral.
GAAAUGCGAUAAGUAAUGUGAAUUGCAGAAUUCAGUGAAUCAUCGAAUCUUUGAACGCACCUUGCGCUCCUUGGUAUUCCGAGGAGCAUGCCUGUUUGAGUGUCAUGGAAUUCUCAACUCUAUUUGCUUUUGUGAAUAGAGCUUGGAUUUGGAGGUUUAUUGCUGGUACUUGUGAUCGGCUCCUCUUGAAUGCAUUAGCUCGAACCUUUGCGGAUCAGCUAUCGGUGUGAUAAUUGUCUACGCCGUUGCAGUGAAGCAUAUCAAUGGGCUCGGCUUCCAAUCGUCCUUUACUGGACAAUGACUUUGACCUUUGACCUCAAAUCAGGUAGGAUUACCCGCUGAACUAAAGC